Molecule: ribosomal RNA, 428 nt
Filed under: uncultured Bacillota bacterium
Lineage: Bacteria; Bacillati; Bacillota
Description: bacterial SSU rRNA
Rfam family: Bacterial small subunit ribosomal RNA
Source: RNAcentral
AACGCGAAGAACCUUACCAGGUCUUGACAUCCUCUGACAAUCCUAGAGAUAGGACUUUCCCCUUCGGGGGACAGAGUGACAGGUGGUGCAUGGUUGUCGUCAGCUCGUGUCGUGAGAUGUUGGGUUAAGUCCCGCAACGAGCGCAACCCUUGUCCUUAGUUGCCAGCAUUCAGUUGGGCACUCUAAGGAGACUGCCGGUGACAAACCGGAGGAAGGUGGGGAUGACGUCAAAUCAUCAUGCCCCUUAUGACCUGGGCUACACACGUGCUACAAUGGAUGGUACAAAGGGCUGCAAGACCGCGAGGUUUAGCCAAUCCCAUAAAACCAUUCUCAGUUCGGAUUGUAGGCUGCAACUCGCCUACAUGAAGCCGGAAUCGCUAGUAAUCGUGGAUCAGCAUGCCACGGUGAAUACGUUCCCGGGCCUUGUA